GAAACCUGCCCCAGAAGCGGGGGAUAACACCUGGAAACAGAUGCUAAUACCGCAUAACAACUUGGACCGCAGGGUCCGAGCUUGAAAGAUGGCUUCGGCUAUCACUUUUGGAUGGUCCCGCGGCGUAUUAGCUAGAUGGUGGGGUAACGGCUCACCAUGGCAAUGAUACGUAGCCGACCUGAGAGGGUAAUCGGCCACAUUGGGACUGAGACACGGCCCAAACUCCUACGGGAGGCAGCAGUAGGGAAUCUUCCACAAUGGACGAAAGUCUGAUGGAGCAACGCCGCGUGAGUGAAGAAGGGUUUCGGCUCGUAAAACUCUGUUGUUAAAGAAGAACAUAUCUGAGAGUAACUGUUCAGGUAUUGACGGUAUUUAACCAGAAAGCCACGGCUAACUACGUGCCAGCAGCCGCGGUAAUACGUAGGUGGCAAGCGUUGUCCGGAUUUAUUGGGCGUAAAGCGAGCGCAGGCGGUUUUUUAAGUCUGAUGUGAAAGCCUUCGGCUCAACCGAAGAAGUGCAUCGGAAACUGGGAAACUUGAGUGCAGAAGAGGAUCAGUGGAACUCCAUGUGUAGCGGUGAAAUGCGUAGAUAUAUGGAAGAACACCAGUGGCGAAGGCGGCUGUCUGGUCUGUAACUGACGCUGAGGCUCGAAAGUAUGGGUAGCAAACAGGAUUAGAUACCCUGGUAGUCCAUACCGUAAACGAUGAAUGCUAAGUGUUGGAGGGUUUCCGCCCUUCAGUGCUGCAGCUAACGCAUUAAGCAUUCCGCCUGGGGAGUACGGCCGCAAGGCUGAAACUCAAAGGAAUUGACGGGGGCCCGCACAAGCUGUGGAGCAUGUGGUUUAAUUCGAAGCUACGCGAAGAACCUUACCAGGUCUUGACUUACUAUGCAAUCCUAAGAGAUUAGACGUUCCCUUCCGGGACAUGGAUACUGGUGGUGCAUGGUUGUCGU
This 951-nucleotide ribosomal RNA is filed under the name Lactiplantibacillus plantarum. Its description in RNAcentral is "bacterial SSU rRNA". It matches the Rfam family "Bacterial small subunit ribosomal RNA", at positions 121 to 1055 of the family's 1533-position model. Lineage: Bacteria; Bacillati; Bacillota; Bacilli; Lactobacillales; Lactobacillaceae. The record is from RNAcentral.